UAUUUACUAGUUUAUGAACAUUGUCUGUUGUGCAUCUACUUUUUUCAACACUGGCAUUAGAAAACUUAGUCAUGAAUUUUCUUACAGAUGCUUAUAACAGCACUGUACAUUUCUUCUCAAAUACUUAUGAUAAUAUUAAGCAUUCAUUGUUCACAAGCCCUAAGAGCACCAUGCGCGAGGAUGACGCGGCCUUUGAAGAAACUGCAACGCCAUUCAAUAUUCAUCAGAUAGAGUUUCAUGUAACAGCAAGACCCUUGGAAAAAGAUCCUUCAUUAUUUAUUAAGGAUGUUUCGGAGACUCCGGAUCAAUCUUCCUCUUUAGAUGGAAUUAUCAAGAAUUUAUUAAGUAGUUUUUCUGGAGGUUUUGAUAAUGAAAAUACAGAGGAUUUCAUAUCCGAAAUUUUAGAUUCUUCUACUGAAACUAUUUUAGAUAUUCCUGAUAAAAAUGGGCAUACGUUUAUAAAGGUUAUUGAAGAUAGUACCGGACGAACCAUUGAAUUUUUGCACGAUUCCCAAACUGAAAUUACUCCAGCUACUAAAAAAAUUCCAAACGCUGUUACAAAUAUCUUGAAUUCGACUAACACCUCGACUUUUAUAAAUAAGGAGCCUGAACACAGUGAUGAGUACUAUGUAAAUACUUAUAUUAUUAGUAUUUGGUGGUUCAGAAAAAAUCGUUUAAGAGCUGAAAAAAGAAAUGCAUAUCCUGUUUUGUCAGUAGCCAAUGGAGAAUAUAUGGAUCCGAGUAUAUAUAAGAAUAGUGAGAAAUGCAAGAACAUUGCAUAGACAAAUAUUACAUUCUAAACAAUAUAGGUUCAUAGUUUUCCUUUUGGUGAAUUUCUUAUUGUGUUAGUUAAAAAAACACUACUAUGCUUAUUACUUAUAUAUUAUUACAGUUUAAUUAUGAAAUAUUCAUGUGGUUAAUUAUACGUUUAUAUUUGUAUUUGAAUGCGUAGGAAAUUAGGUAAUAAAGGUGGCUUGUCAAUACACAUUUCAAAUAAAUUAUUUAUAUGAAUUAUUAA
Long non-coding RNA from Anthonomus grandis grandis, 1018 nucleotides. RefSeq lists it as uncharacterized. Lineage: Eukaryota; Metazoa; Arthropoda; Insecta; Coleoptera; Curculionidae. The record is from RefSeq and is a predicted model, not a curated record. The transcript has 3 exons.